GGAGCUGCGGCUCAGUGGCAGAGCAUCUGCUUUGCAUGCAGAUGGCCCCGGGUUCAAUUCCCGGCAUCUCCA
Eublepharis macularius is the source of this 72-nucleotide non-coding RNA. The record is from the annotation of a RefSeq genome assembly. NCBI's taxonomy places the organism in Eukaryota, Metazoa, Chordata, Lepidosauria, Squamata, Eublepharidae.